RNAcentral lists this ribosomal RNA (414 nucleotides) under Gammaproteobacteria bacterium. Its description in RNAcentral is "bacterial SSU rRNA". It matches the Rfam family "Bacterial small subunit ribosomal RNA", at positions 1 to 409 of the family's 1533-position model. Lineage: Bacteria; Pseudomonadati; Pseudomonadota; Gammaproteobacteria. The record is from RNAcentral.
UAAUUGAAGAGUUUGAUCAUGGCUCAGAUUGAACGCUGGCGGUAUGCUUAACACAUGCAAGUCGAACGGUAACAGAGGAUAGCUUGCUAUCUUGCUGACGAGUGGCGGACGGGUGAGUAACGCGUAGGGAUCUACCCAGCUGCGGGGGAUAGCCCGGUGAAAACCGGAUUAAUACCGCAUACGACCUUCGGGUGAAAGGGUGCCUCUCCUUGGAAGCAUUCACAGUUGGAUGAACCUGCGUCAGAUUAGCUAGUUGGUAGGGUAAAGGCCUACCAAGGCGACGAUCUGUAGCUGGUCUGAGAGGAUGAUCAGCCACACUGGGACUGAGACACGGCCCAGACUCCUACGGGAGGCAGCAGUGGGGAAUAUUGCGCAAUGGGCGAAAGCCUGACGCAGCCAUGCCGCGUGUGUGAA